This 250-nucleotide ribosomal RNA is filed under the name uncultured bacterium. RNAcentral describes it as "partial 16S ribosomal RNA". It matches the Rfam family "Bacterial small subunit ribosomal RNA", at positions 355 to 597 of the family's 1533-position model. The record is from RNAcentral.
UGGGGAAUCUUGGGCAAUGGGCGCAAGCCUGACCCAGCCAUGCCGCGUGUGCGAAGAAGGCCUUCGGGUUGUAAAGCACUUUCAGUAGCGAAGAAAAGCCAGGGGCUAAUACCCCCGGGUCUUGACGUUAACUACAGAAGAAGCACCGGCUAACUCCGUGCCAGCAGCCGCGGUAAUACGGAGGGUGCGAACGUUAAUCGGAAUUACUGGGCGUAAAGCGCACGUAGGCGGUUCGGUAAGUGGGAUGUGA